UAGAGAGGGAGGUGUACCGGGGUUUUGGGUUUAUAUGCCUCCUGAGACCCUAGUUCCACAUUCUGGAGC
Molecule: microRNA precursor, 69 nt
Filed under: Colobus angolensis palliatus
Lineage: Eukaryota; Metazoa; Chordata; Mammalia; Primates; Cercopithecidae
Description: miRNA (ENSCANG00000004134.1)
Source: RNAcentral